Small nucleolar RNA from Nycticebus coucang (slow loris), 133 nucleotides. Lineage: Eukaryota; Metazoa; Chordata; Mammalia; Primates; Lorisidae. The record is from RefSeq and is a predicted model, not a curated record.
UGGUAGAUUAGAAAUUAAGACCUGCUUUCUUUAUAUGUGAGCAGUGUUAUUUCUUAUGUGCUAUACAAAUAGUUGAAGGUUAAUUAGCAGUAUAACUGUAAGUAGUAAUACUGCCAGUCUCCUUCAGACAAGA